This 205-nucleotide ribosomal RNA is filed under the name uncultured bacterium. RNAcentral's name for it is "partial 16S ribosomal RNA". It matches the Rfam family "Bacterial small subunit ribosomal RNA", at positions 568 to 772 of the family's 1533-position model. The record is from RNAcentral.
UAGGUAGGUGGUCUCAUUUGUCUAGGGUGAAAGCCUUGAGCUUAACUCAAGAAGUGCCCCGGAAACGGUGAGACUGGAGUCCUGGAGAGGGUCGUGGAAUUCCCGGUGUAGCGGUGAAAUGCGUAGAGAUCGGGAGGAACACCAGAGGCGAAGGCGGCGACCUGGACAGGCACUGACACUCAACUACGAAAGCGUGGGGAGAAAC